Molecule: ribosomal RNA, 443 nt
Filed under: uncultured bacterium
Lineage: Bacteria
Description: partial 16S ribosomal RNA
Rfam family: Bacterial small subunit ribosomal RNA
Source: RNAcentral
CCUACGGGUGGCAGCAGUGGGGAAUAUUGGGCAAUGGGCGCAAGCCUGACCCAGCAACGCCGCGUGAAGGAAGAAGGCUUUCGGGUUUUAAACUUCUUUUCUCAGGGACGAAGCAAGUGACGGUACCUGAGGAAUAAGCCACGGCUAACUACGUGCCAGCAGCCGCGGUAAUACGUAGGUGGCAAGCGUUAUCCGGAUUUACUGGGUGUAAAGGGCGUGUAGGCGGGAAAGCAAGUCAGAUGUGAAAAGCAUGGGCUCAACCUGUGGCCUGCAUUUGAAACUGUUGUUCUUGAGUGCUGGAGAGGCAGACGGAAUGCCUGGUGUAGCGGUGAAAUGCGUAGAGAUUAGGAGGAACACCAGUGGCGAAGGCGGUCUGCUGGACAGCAACUGACGCUGAGGCGCGAAAGCGUGGGGAGCAAACAGGAUUAGAUACCCGGGUAGUC